ACUUUAUUAAUUACAUUUCAAAAUUUAUAACAUGAUAUAUUGUUGGGAAAAUGAACUUAUAUUCAUGUAUUUUUUUUUUAAAAUAUAUAGGUGUUACUUCGAUAACAAUUGAUGACAAAACCGGGAAAAUGACUGUAGUUGGUGAAGUUGAUGUACCGGUUAUUGUGAUGAAGCUAAGGAAGCUAUGUAACACAGAGAUUGUUUCGGUUGAAGUUGUUAAACCACCUGAGAAAAAGCCUGAACCGGAGAAACCGGCUCCACUUAAACCAGCUCCAGCUCCAGCUAAACCGGGUGAAAUUGUUGCCUGGCCGGUUCAGAUGAACAACCCUUACCAAUACCAUCCUGCCUAUGCAAAUUCUUACUAUCAACCAUACGGAAAUUCUAGAUUUGUAACGGACGAAUCAAAUUGUGUGAUUAUGUGAUUUUUAUAGAGUUAUUUCAAAUAAUGUUAAGUUAGUUUUAAUGGAAGAAUGUAAUUUUUUGAGCUACUGUAAUAUACAUUUCUCGUAUGAGCUUAUUCGGAAAAAAAUUAAGUUACUGUGUGAUAAAAUUGAUCUUUAUACGUUAUGUUAACUUUUACUUUUAAUCAUCUUGUAAUAUUUGAUCUUUUUUCCUAUAGAGAAUAUUCUCUAUACUUUGUCUUUUGCUAGUAUUCUGAUCAAUUGGAUACAAAAAUAUAACACACACACAUAGUUAAGUCGCUCUCAACUCAUUUAUGAAUAUCAAGAAUCAAGAUCGUUCACGUAAUACAUUCGAUUGUCCAAAACUAAAAUAAUUUUGAAACAAUUAUUGAAGAAUGAGAUGUUAGUAAAGAUGUGAUGGAGAGAGUCAAGAUCGGAAAGUCUCCUUUAACAAAACAAAUAAAAAAUAAAAAAAAUCCCUAGAAGAUUCCUACGUGUGGGGGAUCCACAUGUAAAUUGAGGUUUCGAGGAGAUUUCCUUUCUUGACUAUGAAAUGGCAGUAUUAUUCAAGUCUUCUUAUCAUUUUGCUAAUAAUAUGAAUCGCAUGAAACAAUUCAAAAAGUUAAAAUUUUGGAUUCAUGCAUGCAUAAUGCAUUCAUUUGAUUUUGAGAUCUAACAAAACUCUUGUGUCAGAUUAAGUCAUAACUUCUAAAAUUUUAGUUUAAAUCAUGUGUUAUUUAUUCAAUAAAAUACAAGUUAAAAAUUUUGUGUUAUUCUAUUAAUAUUUUAAAUUACAAGGUAGAAAUUAUGAUUUUUUCUGAGAAUUUUUUUUUUUUUUUUUUUUUUUGCACAACAAAGAUUUGUGGGUAUGAAAUGUGCUAUACUAGUAUGAUGCAGGUAGCACAAUUCGAGGAGUCUUGUUUGUCUAAGAGUAAAGUUAUAAAUCGAGAGCAUGGUGCAAAGAAAACCAUUUUACCGUGGUGUGAAUAUAAUUGUUUGUUGAAAAAUCGUAUGUAGAAUCGCUCGCCAUAAAAAAUUGCAUAAAUGAAUUGAUAGUCAUGAUCAUGAAUGUUGUUGAUCAAUUAUAAUUUGGAUAAAAAAGGUUAAAGUUUCUUCAAAUUAUAGUGUAUCAGAAAAACAAAAGAAACGUGUGGGGUAUAUUAGAAUAAAAGGUAUUUAGUAAUUUUUUUAUAUAUUUAAUGAGAUUAAACACGUCUACUUUCUAUAUUUUAUACACUAGCGCAUUAAUCAAAAAUAGAAAAUUUGACAUAGUAGGAGAGUCAGCUUUUAGUCUAAAAUUUGGAGAAAUGAAUAUACUAAGGGAAUAUACUCAUCUCUCCCUAUAAUACUCAUCUAUAGCAAAAUGGAGAGAGUAUAAAUUAAGAUAAAGAUUCACAUACAUUGUUUCCGAAUUGUUAUUAUUUUCUUAAAAUUUGAACAAUUUCUCGAUUAGUGUGUCGUCCUUAUGCUAAUCUUCUUUGUAUUGUUCCAAAUUUUAUCAAAUAUUCCCGGUAACAGAAAUUUAACCUCAAGAAACAAACAUGUGAUCUAAUUUACACAAAUAUUCGUUUCCAUCACAAACACAAAACCUAGAGAUCACAAACUACUACUUGUUACCUUUUUGUUGUUGUUGUUAAAGAUCUUGCUACUUAUUACUUUCUUCUUGACUGCCUCGAUGAUCUCGGGAUUUAAACUUUUCUUUUGGCAGCUUCGAAUUAUUUUCGUGUGGCUCUGAGUAGGCAUUGCUAUAUGAUAACUAGAGAGAACAACGAUAACAUUUGAUCAAACUUAUCUUUCCUCUCAUCUCUUUAUAACAUCUUUAAAAAUUAUUAAAGAACAAUUGUGACUUAAAUCUCGGUUUGAUUUCGAUUUUAUCUAUUGGUUUUGGUAUGAUUCAACUUUUCCAAGAACACACUGUAGAGAACUUUCCUGAGAAUUGCUUAUGUGACCAAAGAGUCAAUAGGGUCAACAGAUGGUCCGGGUCGACCCGGUCGUACACGCGGCAUUCUGAAUGUUAACCAAAAUAAUAUAGAAUGACUACUUUACUCUUUAGUCUUUUAUAACAACUUUUUGGGGUCAUACUCGCAAAUUCCUACGCAAUUUCUAUAUAAAUAGAUAUCAUAAGACUUGCAAUAUGUCAUCAAGAAGCUUCGAUAUCUCAAUCUAUCUCUACUCUUUCUCUCUUUAAAAAAAAAACAAAAUAUCCAAAAUUUCUGGAGUAGUUUCUCGAGCCAUGACGACCGCGAAGGUACGCAUUUCAUUUUAUCAUCCUUAGACUAUGCGUUAAUUAAUCGUUAUAUACUAUUCUAACUAUAAAAUUAUCAUUUUUUACAUUGAAACUAUGCAAUUAUCCAUACUGAUUUCUCAUUUGCAAUAACAGAAAGUUGUGUUGCAAUUAAGCAUUCACGAGGAGAAAAUCAGGAAGAAAGCGCUUGUCACCGUUUCUCGAUUUUCAGGUAUCUAUUAUGAAAUUUCUAUUAGAAAUUUUUAAUAUGAUAUAUAAGGAAAAUAAACUUGUAUUAAUGAUUUUUUUUCUUUAUAUAUAUAGGGGUUACUUCGAUAACAAUAGAUGACAAAAGUGGGAAAAUGACGGUAGUUGGAGAAGUUGAUGUACCAGUUAUCGUGAUCAAGCUGAGGAAGCUAUGUCACACAGAUAUCGUUUCGGUAGAUGAUGUUAAACCACCUGAGAAAAAGCCUGAACCGGAGAAACCAGCUCUACCUAUACCGGCUGAAUUUAUUACAUAUCCGAUGAACUACGCGUACCAAUAUAAUCCUCAUGCCUAUGCAAAUUCUUACUAUUAUCAACCAUACGGGAAUUGUAGAGUAGUAGACGAACCAAAUUGUGUGAUUAUGUGAUUUUUCUAGAGUGUAAUAUUAAGUUAUUAAACACUUAUAAUUUUGAUGGAAAAGUGUAAUUUUCUUAGAUACUGUAAUAUACAUCUCUCGUAUGAGCUUAUUGGGAGAAAUAAUUCAAUUUAUGUAUUACAAAAAGAAUCUUAAUACGCUUUAUCAACUUUUACGUUUAAUCAUAUAUAGUAGUAAUUAGUUUUUAUUGUUUUCCAUUAUGGUUUCAUUUACGUAGACUUGUUGAAUAUAUUCUAUAUAUUGUCUCAAGUUAGAAUACUAAUCAAUAUGUAGCGAGGGAUUGGUAAUUGGUGGAAUGGGAUCAUAAUUUGGAUACAAAUUAGAUAUAUAUAUUAUCUAACACAUAGUUAAGUCGCUCUCAAUUUUUUUUGACUCAUGAACAUCAAGAAUCAAGAUCGUUCACGUAACACAUGAUUGUCCAAAAUAAAAAGUAAUUUUGGACUAUUAGCGAGUGAGAGAAUAAUGAAAAAGAAAAAAAAAAAAAAAAAGAAAGAAAAAGAGAUGGAGAGAGUCAAGAUCCGAAAAGUCUUCUAUAACAAAACGAAACAAUAAUAAAAGACUAAGCAAAAGUCUAGCGUGACUUGGAGGGUCGACAUGUGGAUUGAUGCUUACGAGUAUAUUUCGUUUCUUGAGUUUGAAACGAAGAAUUAUUCAAAUCUUCUUACCAAAACAACUUUAAUAUGAAUCGCCAAAAAUCUUAAAACUUUAGAUUUAUGAAUUGUGUUGAUUGCAAAAUUAAUACAAAUCUUGUAUUAUUUAAUUGAUGUUAUUUACACAAUAAAUUUAGAUAAAAAACAAAAUUUGGGGUACUCUAUUAAUAAUUUCGAAAUAUAAACCAAAAACAUAAAUUUGGCCAAAAAAAAAAAACAUAAACAUAAACAAAAAAUAGGCUGUUUUACUUUUAGGUGAUUUGUUUAUUGGAUUGUUAACUUUUUCUAAUCUUUUUUUUUUUUGCUACACUAGUUCUUUAAUAUUUGUCAAAAUGUUGUGUUAUAUUGUUUGAUUAACUAAAUUCUAAAUCCUGGCUCAAGUAAUGAAAAUUAUUAAAAGAGUUCGUUGGUUUUAUGUCCACUUGGAUUUUUUCAAUAAAAUUAUAUGUCAAAAUCCAUAUGGCUUUAAGAAUAUAUUUUUUUUUUCUUGGUCAAAUAUGGCUUUAAGAAUAUGUAUUAAAUCAUUUAUUGGAUUGUAUAUUUAGAUGAAUUUUGAAACUAAGCAUCAUCUUGUGUUAUUCAACUAUUUAUGAUACAAUCUUUGUCAAAAUAUUAUGUUAACUAGAUUUUAACCCGCAGUGUACGAUUUGUUUUUAAAAUUAGUGAUUUUUAAAAUUUAAUGGGGAUAUAUUAUAUAAAAAAAAUUGCAAAUUAUAUCAUUUUAUAAAAAAAAUUAUAUUUUAUAGUUUCCAAUUAUUAUUAAGUAAUGCUAUACCACAAGACAAUUUUUUUUAAUACAAUUUACUUUAGUCAGGAUCAUUCGAUAUGUCUAAUAUUUGUGGUGUUAAAAAGUAAUAAAAUGAAGAUUUAACUAUAUUGAAUCAGCGGGUUAAUGAUGUUUAAAAAUUUUUUGAUUUAAAUUUGUCUCUUCAUAUAACCCCGUCUUUCAAUAUAACCCCGUUCUGCAAUAUAACCUUGUCUUGCAAUAUAACCGUCUCAUGUUAUUUUAACUCCUUAUAUAUGUUCAAAUAUUCUUAUAUUAUAAACUUUGUACUAAUAUAUGAAUUAUAAUAUUUAAAACUUCUUAAAAACUUGUCCCGUUAUAUAACUUUGUCUACCAAUAUAAUCUGUCUCGUGUUAUUGUAACUCUUUAUAUAUGUUCGAAUGUUCAUAAUAUUAUAAUUUUUUUAUUGAUUUUAAAUAUAUGAAUUAUAUUAUUUAAAACUUUUUAAAAGUUUAAAAUUUAACAUUUCUGGUAAAAUUAAGCAGUUAAACUAAAAAACCGAAUGAAACGGUAUAUGAUUUUAAAUUUGGAUGCUUAUUAAGUUGAGCUUCAUGUUCAUUCGGAUUUGGAUUCAUUUUGAUCUUAUUUAUAAUAUGAUUCUGAAUCAAUAUCUAAACAUUUUAGCCGAUAUGGGACGUUGAACACACACCUUUUUCAUCAAUUAGGUAAUAUAUACCCGUUUUAAAAUUUUUGAAUCCCAAUAUAUGCAAAAAACAAAUUGAGAUUUUUUUAACUUUAUGUAUUAUACGACGAUUCAAAAUAGUUAAAAAAUAUUCAAACAAAGAUGAUAGGAGAAUUGUAUUUCUAAAUCCUAACCAAAUCUUCUAAAUAUCUAUAUUUUUAAAAUGGAAUAUCCGGUUCAUAAUUUCGGAUAUGUUUUGAUCCGAUCCAAAAAGAAUAUGAACUAUCCGGUGUAAAAUUUAUGAAAUCAAUUUCUUAUCGGGUCGGAUAUCAAAUUUGUCGGAUAAUAAUUUAACCCACCCGCUAAAAAUGUACUUCAAAAAUACUAGUAUAGAUUCAACAAUUUAUGAUAUGUGAAUCUUAGCUAAAGUUGUAUCUUAGUGGAUUAUAUUAAUAUCGCCGUUUGUGCCUGCGCACGGAUUCCCACUAUGCAUAUAAAUCAUAUAAAACGUGAAUUUGAAAAUGUAUUUUCUGAAGCAAGUCCUACUUGUCCCAAUCCAGCAACCACAAUUCAGAGUUGUGCUGAUUCUAGUAUGGUUUCCAUUACAAUGGAAAACAGUUAAGCUUCAGUGACAUGUCUCUGAUAAUUCCUAUAGAGCCCAUAAUCGCUAUACACUUGACUUUGAGGGUUUCCUGUCUGCACUUCCCUCCUUCAUGGAGAUAUAUUUGAUGGAACAUUCCUCCUUUAUGGAGAGACCACUUACUAUCUCGUCCUCUUUGAGUUAGCUAAACUCUUCCGUUAUGUAACCACUUGAUCUUCUAAUGGAAACAAAGCUUUUGCAUAGGAAAAAAGAAAAAAAGGACCAAAAAACUGAACCUAGAUCAUUCAUACAAACCACUCGUUGUCCUCGGCAUCUCUUUCAACUUUCCUCUGGACAGCUUCGAAUUCUUCUUCGUUUGACUCUUAGUCAACAUUGCUACCAUAGGUAUAUAGAGACAAGCGACAAGAACACUGAAUCCUUCUCUUUCCCGCAUCUCUUCAACAUCUUUAAGAGAUUAAAAAAGAACCGUUAUGACUUCUAUCUCGGUUUGAUUUUGAUUUCAGCUUUUGUUUCUAUGUGAUUGAUCAACUUUUCCAACACUCUGGAUAACUUGCUUGAGAAGUUCUUACGUGACCAAUGAAUCUAAAUACUGCACUUCCUUUUGAUUUCGUUACACCACAAUUAUAUUUUCAACCAACUCGGGAAAAUUAUUACUCAAAACAAAUUAAUAGACAUUUACUACUCUAAUCGUUUACUACUCUAAUGCUAUUGAUAUGUAAAAAUACAAAAUGCUUGUGGAUCAUAUAUCUAAUAAAUCAGUGCAAAUUUCUACGUUAAUUUAUAUUUAAACAGAUAUCAUUUGACGCAAUUGUCAUCAAGAAGUGUUAGGAGAUCUCAGAGAUUACAAGAUCGAAUUAAACAUAUUUCCAUAUUGUUAUUAGAAAAGUUAACAUUUGUGUAAUAUUGCCUUAUUGUUAAAUAGGUAGGUUUCUUAUAAUCAUAUAUGUCAAAACUUGCUAAUCAAGUUAUAACUUUGUAUAAAUAUGUAUAUUGAAUAGAAAAAAAAAAAAUGUAUAUUGAAUAACUUUGGGGCUAAUCACUUCUUCGGUAUCUCAAUUCAUCCCUCUCUUUGAAGUUUUCUUGAGCCAUGGCCGCGAAGGUACCCACCUUUAUCUCGUUUUAGCUCUCUUUAAAUAACUAUGCGUUGAUUAAUCAUUUAUAUAUAUAUGUACUAUUUAACUAUUGUUAUAGUAAGUCGAUUGAAACUAUGCAAUUAGCCAUAGUAAUCUCUUGUUUGAAAUGGCAGAAAGCUGUGUUGCAAUUGAUUAUUGACAAUGAGAAAAUCAGGACGAAAGUGUUUGUGACCGUUGCUGGAUUUACAGGUAUCUUUGUAAGUUACUUUUCUAAAUUUGUAGAAUGAUAUUGUGGGAGGGGAAAUAAAUUUUUAUUCAUGAAAUAUUUUUCUAAUAUAGGUGUUACUUCGAUAACUAUGGAUGACAAAACCGGGAAACUGACGGUAGUGGGAGAAAUUGAUGUGCCAAUUAUCGUGAUGAAGCUAAGGAAGCUAUGUAACACAGAGAUUGUUUCUGUUGAAGUAGUUAAACCACCUGAGAAAAAGCCUGAACCGGAGAAACCGGCUCCACCUAAACCAGCUCCACCU
Molecule: long non-coding RNA, 7523 nt
Filed under: Arabidopsis lyrata
Lineage: Eukaryota; Viridiplantae; Streptophyta; Magnoliopsida; Brassicales; Brassicaceae
Description: long non-coding RNA (ALYR_LNC000618)
Source: RNAcentral